GACGAACGCUGGCGGCGUGCUUAACACAUGCAAGUCGAACGGAAAGGCCCGGCUUUUGUGGGGUGCUCGAGUGGCGAACGGGUGAGUAACACGUGAGUAACCUGCCCUUGACUGUGGGAUAAAUUCAGGAAACUGGGGCUAAUACCGGAUAGGAGCUCCUGCUGCAUGGGGGGGGUGGGAAAGUUUCGGCGGUUGGGGAUGGACUCGCGGCUUAUCAGCGUGUUGGUGGGGUAGUGGCUUACCAAGGCUUUGACGGGUAGCCGGCCUGGGAGGGUGACCGGCCACAUUGGGCCUGGGAUACGGCCCAGACUCCUACGGGGGGCAGCAGUGGGGAUUAUUGCGCACUGGGCGGCAGCCUGAUGCAGCAACGCCGCGUGCUGGAUGACGGCCUUUGGGUUGUAAACCGCUUUCGCCUGUGACGAAGCGUGAGUGACGGUAAUGGGUAAAGAAGCACCGGCUAACUACGUG
Molecule: ribosomal RNA, 468 nt
Filed under: uncultured bacterium
Lineage: Bacteria
Description: partial 16S ribosomal RNA
Rfam family: Bacterial small subunit ribosomal RNA
Source: RNAcentral